RNAcentral lists this long non-coding RNA (3361 nucleotides) under Homo sapiens (human). RNAcentral's name for it is "HSALNT0155494". Lineage: Eukaryota; Metazoa; Chordata; Mammalia; Primates; Hominidae. The record is from RNAcentral.
GGCUCAGAGGCACUCUGCAGUCACACAGCUGGAGGGGUGCAGUGAGACGCGGAGGCUCCAAGUCUCUUCUGGACUAGGCCUGGAUCUGCCACCUCUUCUUUCGGCUGUGGAUGGCCCUGGGAGACACGCCUGGCCUCAGAUGCCCCUUGACCCAACUGGAGGAAGGGUGGGGGGCCCAGCAGAAAAGCCUGCAGCCUCCCUGGGCACCGUUUCAAAGCUGAUGCUGCUCUCCCUGCUCUGGGUCUCAGCUCCUCCCCUCUUCUGCAUUGUUGACCAACAGCCUGGGUCUGACGCGGAAGCAGAAGAAUUCCCAUUCAACUGGGCCCCAGGGAUGGGGGGCCUCUCUGCCAGUAAGUGACACCCUCUGCUACUGAAAGGCCUCAUGUUCCUGCCCUGCCAAGCCUGGGGUGGCCACCACGUGACAGCACCAGGGACACGUGUCUUCUGGGACCGCUUGUGAGCUGGGUGGCUGGCAAGUUUGUUUCUCCAUGUCCCGCAGCAGGGGCAAGGGUGUGGGUGGUCAUAAUGCACCAGGGCUCUGGGCGGGCUGAGCAGAGUGCAGUUCCUGCUGCCAGCCCCGAUAUGGCACGGACAGCUGGAAAAACUGACCAUGUGGCUUGACUAUCUCAGAGGAUUGCUCCAUUUUUCCUCAGCAUAAUUUUUCCAUGAAUAAUCUUUAAAGCUCUUUAAGUGGCUGUUUCUUUAGCAGUUUUAUUGGAACAUAUGAGAACUGACAGUCUCUGUGGGGAACGAGAUAUCAUGUUGAAAAAAAAUCUGGUUUUCAUUACACUUCUUUCAAGAAAGCAACAGGCUGCCCAACAGACCUCUCAUUGAUUGGAAGAGAAAUGAGCCCAGAGCCUCCUAACAACAGCCUUGGAGUGGACAGGAUGAUGAACAGUGAUGCCAAAGACUCAGGAUCUGAAGGCAGACAGGCCUGGUCCACCACCUGUGUCUGCCAUUUGCAGGAUGAGUGACCUUGAGUAGGUCACCUCACACCUCUGAACCUGAAUUCUACAUCUGCAAAACAGGAAUGAUGACCCUGACUGACAGCCUCCCUGUGAGGAGUAAGCCAUACAGCAUCCCUCCCUCCUUCACGUGACAAACUUUUCCUGAGUCCUGACCUCGGGGGCAGGAGCUGGAGAUACUACACUGGAUUAGAAAGAUGAGUUUCCAGUCAAGUGUGGGAGAGAGAAGUAGCCAGGAUGUAGAACCUGACAAGGGAAGAGUUCAGGAACUUGCCCAGUUGAGCAGCCAGUGAACGGGACAGCCCUGAGCACGGUGCACGUUCUGGGGUGGCUCGUGAGUGACAGCAGUACUGGUAUGCUGGUGAGUGCCUCAGCAGGAGCUCCCUCUGUCCCCCUACCAACUCCCCGAUGUCUGGACGGCACCAGAGCCCGCCUGGGAGGCCACGAGCUAACACUCUCAAGAGGAAAACAGGGGGAUCAAACCAAUGACCCAAGGGCCUACAGCUAAGAACUGCUGGAGCCAGGCUCUGAACUGAGCUCUGCCUGACUCCAGAGGUGGUUUCUACCACCAGGCAAUACAACAGGGAGACACGCAGGUGUGUCAGAGAGCAGUCCUCACAGUGCGAGCACAGAAACCAGAGGCCAAGGCUGAAGAUUUUCCUGGACUCGCGGUGCUGCCCAGGAAUCUUCUGAGAAAACCUGUCAGUUGCCUAUUUGUUGGUGUGGAACUGCCUGUGAAGUCAUUCUGCAGGGGUGGAAAGUGGGGGCCAGCUCUCUGUGGGCAACAGGGACCAUCCCAGAGACAAAGGGCAGCCUCAGCCCACAGACCACUUCGGACUUGAAUCAAGGCCUCAAAGGGCGAGACCUGGGCCACUGUCAAUGUGAGGGCAGGUAGGCUGGGUAGAGGGGUAGAGGCGUGGGCGCUGCCUAGAAGAGGGCCAGAGAGACCGCCCGGCACAUUGGUCUUGCUCCCACUGCCUCCUUUCAGCUCCUCAGUGUACCCAUCCUUGCCCCUGGCAGCUUUUGCUGCCUGGUUCCCCGACUAAAAUGUGAGCUUUGUGGGGAAGGUUCUUGCCUUGCUGGGCACCUGGCUCACAGCAAGUCCUUGGCCUGGAAGUCUUGGGUGAAUGAAUGAAUGAACAUGUCUUAGGGCCUCUCCUUUGCAGGUGUGGGGGAUGUGCCUACUGGAAAGGGCACCGAGCUGAAGCCUAAACCCCCUCCUGAGGAGCCAGGGAAGCCUGCGUUCCUCCCAUUCCCGGGACUGCAAGAGGCACAUUCCUGUCCCUGAGUCUGGUCAGGCUCCUGCCACGCAGCUCAGUCUGGCUGCCAGGUCCAGAAAGGCCUCCCUGGAGCUGCCCCUCUGGCCCCACCCUUCCCAGGACCCCAGGCCACCCCACAGCUGCAGCAGCACCCACUCUCUGUCUUCUGAGGCUGCUAGUGGGAAGCUGGGACCCCCGAGUGUGUCUGAAACCUUCCAGGCACUCCUCGACCCUCUAGUGAUCAAUGAAAACCUUCACAUCCUGCUUCCAGGGCUGAAGCCAGGGAUUUGGAAAAUUGGUGGAAAACACUCCUAUGAGCUGGGGCUUGCUCUGCUGUGGAAAACUGCCAGCAUCAGCACUUCUCCCAAGGCUGUGCCGAGUCAGCAGUCAGCCCACUCUGGAGCUGCCUCUGAGGACCAGGUGCCUACAGGACCCUGUAAGGAGCUUGAAGAGUUGUGGCUGACGGAGGGAUUUCUGUCCUGGGCUCUAGGAAUUCUAGACUGGGCCCUUCCUCAAGGAGCUUUCAGUCUGGCGGAGCAGACAGACAUGGGCAAAUAAGCCCACAACUAACUGUGCCAUCACUGCAGAAGGAAGUGCCACGGAGGAGCAUGAGGGCCAGUUGCAGGAAGGAGCCAGGGCCAGCAUGUGCCUGUAAAAGCCAGAUAGUAAAUAGUUCACGCUCUGCAGGCCACAGGGUCUUUGUCCCAAGCACUCAACUCUGCCACUGCUGCAUGAAAACAGCCACAGGCGAUAUGUCAACCAAAGAGGGGUGGUUGUGCCCAUAUGAAAACAGAGGGUGGAUCUGUCCCACAGUUUGCCACAGCCUGGCUGUUAGACGGCCUGACCUGAUUGGGGGUGGGGGUGAUAGUGGGGAGAAGGCUUCCCCGAGGCAGUGAUAUUUAGCUAAAAGCUGCAGGCUGAGGCAAUGAUGGAGGCAGAAUCACAAUAUGACAAUUAUGAUAAUCACAUCACCAUGAUCAAGUUCCACCUAACACGUGUGUUCUAUGUUGCGCACUGUGCUAAUAACAACACUACCCUGUGAAGGAGGAAGAUUUUAUGCCCACUUUACAGAUAGAGACACUGAGGCUUGGCAGUAUGCUGAGUAGUCUGUUCACACAAUUCAGCUGCAUUUUUUGC